Long non-coding RNA from Pangasianodon hypophthalmus (striped catfish), 713 nucleotides. RefSeq lists it as uncharacterized. The transcript has 3 exons. The record is from RefSeq and is a predicted model, not a curated record. Lineage: Eukaryota; Metazoa; Chordata; Actinopteri; Siluriformes; Pangasiidae.
AUCCCUUUUUCCUAGUUUCCGUGUGUUCCCAGUUUCCGUGUUUCCUAGUUUACCUGUGUUUUUGAUCCUUGGACUGCUUUCCUUGUUUUUGAUUGUUUGCUGCCUGCCCUGACCAUUGCCUGUGUUUUGUAUUACUCUUUUGCCUCUGCCUUGGAUUAUACUGUUUGCUGGUGCUCGAACCCUGCCUGUUUUGACCAUGUGUGUAAAUAAAGCCCUGCAUUUGGAUCCCCAACUCCGUUGACACGACCCCUACGUUGCACACAGGCAUGUCGGACAGACGAUCGGGGGCCAUGUUGUCCCAGGUGGUGGAGGGGGAGGAGCGCCCUGUACUGUACAUCAGCUGCAAGCUCUCAGUGCGAGUUGGCAGCAGGCCAGAUGGUUCCCCAGCCUGAGUCAGGUGGUGGGGGUAUGUGGAAGUGGAGGCAUGGAGCCGGUGAAGUGGUUCCAAGCCUGGCUCCUGUGUCCUCAUUCUCGUCCCGAACCAGAGCAAGUGUCACAGCAUGAUGCACAGAGAUGAACACAAUCAAGACAGAAGGAAAUCUAAGAAUAAAAUACUAAACUCCCACUCACCAUCAUGGACAGCACUGUAACGAUAGUGGAGUCAUUCAGGUUCCUGGGCAACACUAUCUCUCAGGACCUGAAGUGGGACAUUCACAUUGAGUCCAUUCUUAAAAAGGCCCAGCAGAGGUUGUAUUUCCUUCGCCAGCUGAGGA